UAAUCGAUGGGGGGACGCAGUAGGAUAGGCGAAGCGUGCGAUUGGAUUGCACGUCUAAGCAGUAAGGCUGAGUAUUAGGCAAAUCCGGUACUCGUUAAGGCUGAGCUGUGAUGGGGAGAAGACAUUGAGUCUUCGAGUCGUUGAUUUCACACUGCCGAGAAAAGCCUCUAGAUAGAAAAUAGGUGCCCGUACCGCAAACCGACACAGG
RNAcentral lists this ribosomal RNA (208 nucleotides) under Staphylococcus aureus. RNAcentral's name for it is "partial 23S ribosomal RNA". It matches the Rfam family "Bacterial large subunit ribosomal RNA", at positions 1458 to 1663 of the family's 2925-position model. The record is from RNAcentral. Lineage: Bacteria; Bacillati; Bacillota; Bacilli; Caryophanales; Staphylococcaceae.